GCAGAACGCUGGCGGCGUGCCUAUACAUGCAGUCGAGCGGACUGAUUAGAAGCUUGCUUCUAUGACGUUAGCGGCGGACGGGUGAGUAACACGUGGGCAACCUGCCUGUAAGACUGGGAUAACUCCGGGAAACCGGAGCUAAUACCGGAUAACAUUUUUUCUUGCAUAAAAAAAAAUUGAAAGAUGGUUUCGGCUAUCACUUACAGAUGGGCCCGCGGUGCAUUAGCUAGUUGGUGAGGUAACGGCUCACCAAGGCAACGAUGCAUAGCCGACCUGAGAGGGUGAUCGGCCACACUGGGACUGAGACACGGCCCAGACUCCUACGGGAGGCAGCAGUAGGGAAUCUUCCGCAAUGGACGAAAGUCUGACGGAGCAACGCCGCGUGAGUGAUGAAGGCUUUCGGGUCGUAAAACUCUGUUGUUAGGGAAGAACAAGUACAAGAGUAACUGCUUGUACCUUGACGGUACCUAACCAGAAAGCCACGGCUAACUACGUGCCAGCCCGCCGCGGAUA
Molecule: ribosomal RNA, 513 nt
Filed under: Priestia flexa
Lineage: Bacteria; Bacillati; Bacillota; Bacilli; Caryophanales; Bacillaceae
Description: bacterial SSU rRNA
Rfam family: Bacterial small subunit ribosomal RNA
Source: RNAcentral